RNAcentral lists this unclassified non-coding RNA (395 nucleotides) under Hevea brasiliensis (rubber tree). Lineage: Eukaryota; Viridiplantae; Streptophyta; Magnoliopsida; Malpighiales; Euphorbiaceae. The record is from RNAcentral.
GAGAUCUGCAAAACGUAUUGUUGACUUUCGGCUUGUGGAUGCUACAGCCCUCUUAAUUUCAUUUACUUCGACGGAAAUGUCAGCAUCGAACCCUCGGAGAACUUGCAAAGAGGUUUCAAAAUCAUCUGUCAGACCCAUCUUGGCCAACCACCGAGGAGAUUCUGGGAUGAAAAAUAGGCCAGGUAUCAAUGCAAGGCAGGGCAAUGUUCCAAGAAAAGCGAGCACUCUCCAAUUAACAAAAAGUCCUAGCAAAUAAGCCAACAUGAUCCCAAUUGUAACAGAGAGCUGGUUAACUGACCCCAGGGCCCCUCUCAGGUUCUGAGGUGCUAUCUCGGCAAUAUAUACAGGAACCGUGUAAGAUAUUAUGCCGACUCCAAAACCUUCCAAUAAUCUUC